This 74-nucleotide transfer RNA is filed under the name uncultured phage cr111_1. RNAcentral's name for it is "crAssphage cr111_1 tRNA-Val". It matches the Rfam family "tRNA". From Rfam's summary of the family: Transfer RNA (tRNA) molecules are approximately 80 nucleotides in length. Lineage: Duplodnaviria; Heunggongvirae; Uroviricota; Caudoviricetes; Crassvirales; Steigviridae. The record is from RNAcentral.
AGGGGAUUAGUUGAGUGGUAAAAAUGCCUGGCUUACAUCCAGGAGGUCGUAAGUUCGAUUCUUACAUCCCCUAC